This is a non-coding RNA of Cricetulus griseus (Chinese hamster), 317 nucleotides long. Lineage: Eukaryota; Metazoa; Chordata; Mammalia; Rodentia; Cricetidae. The record is from RefSeq and is a predicted model, not a curated record.
CCCUCCCUCUCCUUACCGCCAGCGACCCCACGCCACGCAGAGAUGAGGAGACGCAAGGCGUCCUCUGCAGCUACUUCCGUGGGUGCGAGGCUAGGCUGGGGGGCGGGGCUGACCUUGAGAGCGCGAGGGCGCAGGCGCGCAGCAUACUGGCACAGCACCUGGGGAACCUGACUCUGACCAACAAGGAGGAAUUGCUUGACUAAUUGAAAGUGACAGAAACCUUGGGAGAAAGCAAUAGCAUACAAAGAAUAAUUAAAAAAAGAGCCUUCAUCCAGUAGCUGAUGGAAGCAGAAGCAGACACCCACAGCUAAACACUG